RNAcentral lists this ribosomal RNA (840 nucleotides) under Salmonella enterica subsp. houtenae str. CFSAN000557. RNAcentral describes it as "partial 23S ribosomal RNA". It matches the Rfam family "Bacterial large subunit ribosomal RNA", at positions 711 to 1551 of the family's 2925-position model. Lineage: Bacteria; Pseudomonadati; Pseudomonadota; Gammaproteobacteria; Enterobacterales; Enterobacteriaceae. The record is from RNAcentral.
AGACCCGAAACCCGGUGAUCUAGCCAUGGGCAGGUUGAAGGUUGGGUAACACUAACUGGAGGACCGAACCGACUAAUGUUGAAAAAUUAGCGGAUGACCUGUGGCUGGGGGUGAAAGGCCAAUCAAACCGGGAGAUAGCUGGUUCUCCCCGAAAGCUAUUUAGGUAGCGCCUCGUGAAUUCAUCUCCGGGGGUAGAGCACUGUUUCGGCCAGGGGGCCAUCCCGGCUUACCAAUCCGAUGCAAACUGCGAAUACCGGAGAAUGUUAUCACGGGAGACACACGGCGGGUGCUAACGUCCGUCGUGAAGAGGGAAACAACCCAGACCGCCAGCUAAGGUCCCAAAGUCAUGGUUAAGUGGGAAACGAUGUGGGAAGGCCCAGACAGCCAGGAUGUUGGCUUAGAAGCAGCCAUCAUUUAAAGAAAGCGUAAUAGCUCACUGGUCGAGUCGGCCUGCGCGGAAGAUGUAACGGGGCUAAACCAUGCACCGAAGCUGCGGCAGCGACACUGAUGUGUUGUUGGGUAGGGGAGCGUUCUGUAAGCCGUUGAAGGUGUGUCGUGAGGCAUGCUGGAGGUAUCAGAAGUGCGAAUGCUGACAUAAGUAACGAUAAAGCGGGUGAAAAGCCCGCUCGCCGGAAGACCAAGGGUUCCUGUCCAACGUUAAUCGGGGCAGGGUGAGUCGACCCCUAAGGCGAGGCCGAAAGGCGUAGUCGAUGGGAAACGGGUUAAUAUUCCCGUACUUGGUGUUACUGCGAAGGGGGGACGGAGAAGGCUAUGUUGGCCGGGCGACGGUUGUCCCGGUUUAAGCGUGUAGGUGUGUGUUCCAGGUAAAUCCGGUUCACU